Molecule: ribosomal RNA, 468 nt
Filed under: uncultured bacterium
Lineage: Bacteria
Description: partial 16S ribosomal RNA
Rfam family: Bacterial small subunit ribosomal RNA
Source: RNAcentral
GACGAACGCUGGCGGCGUGCUUAACACAUGCAAGUCGAACGGAAAGGCCCUGCGUUUGUGGGGUGCUCGAGUGGCGAACGGGUGAGUAACACGUGAGUAACCUGCCCUUGACUUUGGGAUAACUUCAGGAAACUGGGGCUAAUACCGGAUAGGAGCUCCUGCUGCAUGGGGGGGGUUGGAAAGUGUCGGCGGUUGGGGAUGGACUCGCGGGUUAUCCGCUUGAUGGUCGGGUAGUUGCGUACCAAGGCUUUGACGGGUAGCCGGCCUGAGAGGGUGACCGGCCACAUUGGGCCUGAGAUAGGGCGCAGAAGGGUACGGGCGGCAGUAGUGGGGAACCUUGCGGAAUGGGCGGAAGCCUGAUGCGGCAACGCCGCGUGCGGGAUGCCGGCUUUCGGGUUGUAAACAGAUUUCGAAUGUGCCGAAGCGUGAGUGACGGUAAUGGGUAAAGAAGCAACGGCUAACUACGUG